This 565-nucleotide ribosomal RNA is filed under the name Staphylococcus aureus. Its description in RNAcentral is "partial 23S ribosomal RNA". It matches the Rfam family "Bacterial large subunit ribosomal RNA", at positions 1601 to 2167 of the family's 2925-position model. Lineage: Bacteria; Bacillati; Bacillota; Bacilli; Caryophanales; Staphylococcaceae. The record is from RNAcentral.
CACACUGCCGAGAAAAGCCUCUAGAUAGAAAAUAGGUGCCCGUACCGCAAACCGACACAGGUAGUCAAGAUGAGAAUUCUAAGGUGAGCGAGCGAACUCUCGUUAAGGAACUCGGCAAAAUGACCCCGUAACUUCGGGAGAAGGGGUGCUCUUUAGGGUUAACGCCCAGAAGAGCCGCAGUGAAUAGGCCCAAGCGACUGUUUAUCAAAAACACAGGUCUCUGCUAAACCGUAAGGUGAUGUAUAGGGGCUGACGCCUGCCCGGUGCUGGAAGGUUAAGAGGAGUGGUUAGCUUCUGCGAAGCUACGAAUCGAAGCCCCAGUAAACGGCGGCCGUAACUAUAACGGUCCUAAGGUAGCGAAAUUCCUUGUCGGGUAAGUUCCGACCCGCACGAAAGGCGUAACGAUUUGGGCACUGUCUCAACGAGAGACUCGGUGAAAUCAUAGUACCUGUGAAGAUGCAGGUUACCCGCGACAGGACGGAAAGACCCCGUGGAGCUUUACUGUAGCCUGAUAUUGAAAUUCGGCACAGCUUGUACAGGAUAGGUAGGAGCCUUUGAAACGUGA